Molecule: ribosomal RNA, 1197 nt
Filed under: Triticum aestivum (bread wheat)
Lineage: Eukaryota; Viridiplantae; Streptophyta; Magnoliopsida; Poales; Poaceae
Description: partial small subunit ribosomal RNA
Source: RNAcentral
AUGGGUCCUGGAUCCGCCCCUGGCCGGCCGAUUUCUCUAAUCUGCUCUCCCUGCCGCGUCCGCAGGAGGGAUUGGGCGAAUCUCUCUGACGGGCCUAUGGGGAUUAUCGCCGAGCGUGUCCUCGCCUACGACAUCGCCGACUUCCUCCGCUUCCGUGCCGUGUGCCGUCCGUGGCGGCGAAUCUCCAUGGACCCACGCGCGCACGGCGGCCUAGACCGCCGGUUCCAUCCCCGUCGGUGGGUCCUGCUCCGAGAACGGCUCGCCACGCCCAACCGCAGGCGCUUCCUAAAUUCCUCCACCGGCGAGUGCAUCCACGUGGACAUCCCUGAGCUCCGUGAGCACGAGGUGCUCGCCCUCACCCCCGAGGGCCUACUCGUGUUGCUCCAUAACCAAUAUCACGUCCGCCUGCUCAACCCGCUCACCAGCCAACUCAUGCAGCUCCCGCCGAUCACCAUGCUGCUGCCUUCUGAGGACCACCACAGGCUUUCAGAUCGCUACAAUUUCGGGACCAACUUCGCAGCGUGGGGCUCCGGCAUUGCAGACGAUGAUUCAACAGUGGUGCUCUGCUUCUACCGGCUCCGCAUGCUUGGCGUUGCCAAGCCUGGCGACGACCGCUGGACGCUGCUCAAGUUCCCUGACCCACUAAGGACGGUACCUCUGAUGUUCUCCGGCCGCUUCUAUUGUGUUAACCUAAAUGGUGUCAUGGUCCUCAGGAUGAGUCCACCACGGCUCGAGGUGGCUGCCAAGCUGCAUAUACAGGUGUCCCGAGAAGGCUAUAGCGCCCACCUCGUGGACAAUGGCGGGGAGCUGAUGUUGGUUCACCGCAGGCGCUGGCACAGGUGGAGUUACGAUGUGUAUCGGGUGGAUUUGGCAACUGGGGAUCUAGUUGCAGUUAAUAGUCUCGGGCGAGAGCGUGCAUUGUUCAUGGGCAUGUAUUGCUCUCUCUCGGUCCCCAUAGAGAUUUUCCCCUCUGGCUCCAUGAGUGGUGACACUAUCUACUUGAGCUUUGACGCUGGUGAGAGGGAUGAUUUUGAGGCUUACCACCUCACAGACAGAAGCAUCACACCUCAUGACGGUUACAAUCUUCGUGAAUCGGUAAUGCUGCCACACACUAUUGUGGACUGCCUCGCCUUGUGCAUUACUGUGGGAUAUGAAGAACACACCAUUGGAUACGGAGAAGACUUGGAUGAUUUUUAA